AGGUCAUUACCAAGGCUUUUAGAAUGCAGUUUGAUUUGCUGUGGACUUGACGGUAAUAAAAACCUCCCACUAGGUUUUCUCUUUGCGACCUUGCUAGCAGUCAACCAGCUGGGAACAUUU
Loxodonta africana (African savanna elephant) is the source of this 120-nucleotide small nucleolar RNA. Ensembl annotates it as small nucleolar RNA SNORA32. NCBI's taxonomy places the organism in Eukaryota, Metazoa, Chordata, Mammalia, Proboscidea, Elephantidae. The record is from Ensembl.